Molecule: long non-coding RNA, 407 nt
Filed under: Elaeis guineensis (African oil palm)
Lineage: Eukaryota; Viridiplantae; Streptophyta; Magnoliopsida; Arecales; Arecaceae
Description: long non-coding RNA (EGUI_LNC079843)
Source: RNAcentral
UCGAGCUUCUUUCGCAUCAUGAGGAAGAACUCAGUCUUCGAGGUAUGCAACCAGUGGGUCAAUCCAGCUAGGUUCAUGGCUGAUCUCCAUUACAAGUUGCGAUUCUUUCAUACUUGGAUACUUUAGAACUUCGAAGAAGACUUCCUUGGGUAGUUCAGUCGGAGCCAGUGUAGUCAACUUAGAGAGAAGAUCGGCCCUGGUAUUUUCUGCUCUUAAAAUCUGCUUGAUGCCAAAGCUGCCAAAGGCAGGGAUAAUCUCUUUUACCUUUUCGAGAUACUUGGCCAUACUAUCCUCUCGGGCUUCAUAGCUUAUGCUGACUUGUCCCACCACCAAUUGGGAGUCACUGUAGACUUGGAGCCGGUUUACUUCUAAUUCUUUGGCGAUCCUCAGUCUUGCAAUCAGAGCUU